This 421-nucleotide ribosomal RNA is filed under the name uncultured bacterium. Its description in RNAcentral is "bacterial SSU rRNA". It matches the Rfam family "Bacterial small subunit ribosomal RNA", at positions 356 to 773 of the family's 1533-position model. The record is from RNAcentral.
AAGGAAUAUUGGUCGAUGGAGGGAACUCUGAACCAGCCAUGCCGCGUGCAGGAUGAAAGCCCUCUGGGUUGUAAACUGCUUUUAACAGGGAAGAAAAUGCUAUACGCGAUAUAGUACUGACGGUACCUGAGGAAUAAGCACCGGCUAACUCCGUGCCAGCAGCCGCGGUAAUACGGAGGGUGCAAGCGUUAUCCGGAAUCACUGGGUUUAAAGGGUGCGUAGGCGGUUUUAUAAGUCAGUGGUAAAAGGUUGUAGCUCAACUAUAAGAGGUCCAUUGAUACUGUAAGACUUGAAUCGAGUUGAGGUUGGCGGAAUGAGACAUGUAGCGGUGAAAUGCUUAGAUAUGUCAUAGAACACCAAUUGCGAAGGCAGCUGACUAGACUUAGAUUGACGCUGAGGCACGAAAGUGUGGGUAGCGAAC